This 253-nucleotide ribosomal RNA is filed under the name uncultured bacterium. RNAcentral's name for it is "partial 16S ribosomal RNA". It matches the Rfam family "Bacterial small subunit ribosomal RNA", at positions 524 to 776 of the family's 1533-position model. The record is from RNAcentral.
UACGAAGGGGGCGAGCGUUGUUCGGAUUUACUGGGCGUAAAGGGCGCGCAGGCGGCGCAUUUUGUCAGGCGUGAAAGCCCCGGGCUUAACCUGGGAACUGCGUUUGAUACGGAUGGGCUAGAGUUCGGGAGAGGAGAGUGGAAUUCCAGGUGUAGCGGUGAAAUGCGUAGAUAUCUGGAGGAACACCGGUGGCGAAGGCGGCAUCCUGGACCGAUAUUGACGCUGAUGCGCGAAAGCCAGGGGAGCAAACGGG